This 1260-nucleotide ribosomal RNA is filed under the name Brenthis daphne (marbled fritillary). RNAcentral's name for it is "partial 16S ribosomal RNA". The record is from RNAcentral. Lineage: Eukaryota; Metazoa; Arthropoda; Insecta; Lepidoptera; Nymphalidae.
GGAGGGGGUAAAUUAAUAAAAUAAAAUUAAUAAAAAAAUUUUUAAUAUUGGGGGGUAUUAAAGUAUUUUUAAAAAAAAAAUAAAAAAAUUUAUAGUUAAUUAAUAUUGUAAAAGAAAUUUUAAAUAUAAAUGAAAAUUAAUUAAUAAAAAAGUAAAUUUAAUUUAUUGUAUCUUGUGUAUCAGAGUUUAUUAAAAAAUAUUUAGUUGAUAAUAAAAUCUCGAAUUUAAAAGAGUUAACUAAUUAUAAAAGUUAAUGUUGAAUAAUUAUUUUUAAUAAUUAGAUAGAAAUGAAAUGUUAAUCGUUUUUAAAUAUAUCUAGUUUUUUUAGAAAAAAAUUUAAUUUAAAAUUUAAAAAAUUUUUUAUUUAAUUUGAUAAAUAUUAAAUUUUAAAAUUAAAUAUAUUAAGGGAUAAGCUUUAAUAUAAAUAUUUAUAAUAAAAAUAAUUAUUAAUAAAAUUUUUAAAAUUUAUAUUGUUUAAAAAUUAUAAUUUAUUAAAAAAAAUUUUAUAAUGAAUAAAAUUAAAUUGUAUUUAUUUAAUUUUUUAUAAAAGAAUAUUUUUUAAUGAUAUAAAUAUAGAAAUAAUGAUAAAAUUAGUAUAUUAAAAAUUAAAAUAGUAAAUUUAAAUUAAAAUUAAUUUAAAGGAAUUCGGCAAAAAUUUAUAUUCACUUGUUUAUCAAAAACAUGUCUUUUAGGUAAUAAUUUAAGGUCUAAUCUGCCCACUGAUAAAUAAUAAAAGGGCUGCAGUAUAUUGACUGUACAAAGGUAGCAUAAUCAUUAGUCUUUUAAUAAGAGACUUGUAUGAAAGAUUUGAUGAAAUAUAAACUGUCUCUAAAUUAUUAAUAAAAAUUAAUUUUUUAGUUAAAAAGCUAAAAUUUAUUUAAAAGACGAGAAGACCCUAUAGAGUUUUAUAAUAAUAAUAAUUAAAGUUAACUAUAUAAUUAUAAAUUAAAAUUAUUAUUAUUAUUUUAUUGGGGUGAUAGAAAAAUUAAAUAAACUUUUUUUUUAUAGAUCUUAAAUAAGUGAGUUUUUGAUCCAUUUAUAAUGAUUAAAAGAAAAAAUUACCUUAGGGAUAACAGCGUAAUUUUUUUUUUUUAGUACAAAUAAAAAAAAAAGGUUGCGACCUCGAUGUUGGAUUAAGAUAAAAGUUAAAUGUAAAAGUUUAAAAUUUUGAUCUGUUCGAUCAUUAAAAUCUUACAUGAUCUGAGUUCAAACCGGUGUGAGCCAGGUUGGUUUCUAUCUUUGGAAAAUUAAAAUAUUUUA